This 305-nucleotide long non-coding RNA is filed under the name Numida meleagris (helmeted guineafowl). RNAcentral's name for it is "lncRNA (ENSNMEG00000011205.1)". The record is from RNAcentral. Lineage: Eukaryota; Metazoa; Chordata; Aves; Galliformes; Numididae.
GUUGAAGAGGCUCAAAAGUGAGAGGAGAGGCAUAGCUGUCUCCUGGCUCUGACAGCUGCAGUUCAGCCUCCCACACAUCCCAUCUCUGCCAGCCUGCUCCAACAACCCCAGAGUGUCAGGAAAGCUGUGACAUUACCCUUGAGAAGAAAAUAACAACCCCUACGAACAGAGUCCAGCAGAAGAACUUCUCAGAAGUUGUCUAAGGGCCCAUUGGUGGAGGAAAGAAGCCUGAAACAAUUGAGGUACUGUAAAAACAUAAAUUAAAAUUUGUUCUGAAAGCAGAAUGCUACUGUAAUUGUCUUCAU